This 73-nucleotide transfer RNA is filed under the name Loxodonta africana (African savanna elephant). It matches the Rfam family "tRNA". From Rfam's summary of the family: Transfer RNA (tRNA) molecules are approximately 80 nucleotides in length. Their secondary structure includes four short double-helical elements and three loops (D, anti-codon, and T loops). The record is from Rfam by way of RNAcentral. Lineage: Eukaryota; Metazoa; Chordata; Mammalia; Proboscidea; Elephantidae.
GCCCUGGUGGCAUAAACGGUGAAGCACUCAGCUGCUAAUUGAAAGGUUGGUGGUUUGAACCCACCCAGCAGCU